AUGACGGCAUCGGCCUACUUCACGAAGAUGAAGGGGAUUGCUGAUGAGAUGGUUGCAAUUGGUAAGAAGAUUGAUGAUGAUGAUUUAAUCUUGCAGAUUCUUUCUGGACUCGACAACGACUACAACCCGUUCGUGUCUGCAAUCUCGGCCACAACUGCUCGAGGGCACCCCAUCUCUCUCGGUGACCUGUACGGGCAGCUUCUGGCGGCUGAGAGUUGCCUCGAGGCCCUGGCUCAUGGCGGAUAUUAUUCUGCCAACCUCGCUAACAAAGGAGGGCGUGGCCCCUCCAACAGCGGCAACCGCAGGAAUAACGACGGGAACAGCGGCUAUGGUGGUCGCAGCGGUUAUGAUGGCCGCGGGAGUAGCAACGGUGGUGGCUACCAGAACAAGCCACCAAAAUAA
RNAcentral lists this ribosomal RNA (402 nucleotides) under Triticum aestivum (bread wheat). RNAcentral's name for it is "partial small subunit ribosomal RNA". The stretch from base 67 to 214 matches the Rfam family "Small nucleolar RNA Z247". Lineage: Eukaryota; Viridiplantae; Streptophyta; Magnoliopsida; Poales; Poaceae. The record is from RNAcentral.